GGGAAUAUUGCACAAUGGGGGGAACCCUGAUGCAGCGAUGCCGCGUGGAGGAAGAAGGUUUUCGGAUUGUAAACUCCUGUCGUAAGGGACGAUAAUAACGGUACCUUACAAGAAAGCUCCGGCUAACUACGUGCCAGCAGCCGCGGUAAUACGGAGGAUGCGAGCGUUAUCCGGAUUUAUUGGGUUUAAAGGGUGCGUAGGCGGGCUGUCAAGUCAGCGGUAAAAUGGAGAGGCUCAACCUCUUCAGGCCGUUGAAACUGGCGGUCUUGAGUGAAUGAGAAGUAUGCGGAAUGCGUGGUGUAGCGGUGAAAUGCAUAGAUAUCACGCAGAACUCCGAUUGCGAAGGCAGCAUACCGGCAUUCAACUGACGCUGAAGCACGAAAGCGUGGGGAUCAAACAGG
Molecule: ribosomal RNA, 401 nt
Filed under: uncultured bacterium
Lineage: Bacteria
Description: bacterial SSU rRNA
Rfam family: Bacterial small subunit ribosomal RNA
Source: RNAcentral